AGCGAACGUUAGCGGCGGGCCUAACACAUGCAAGUCGAACGCGAAAGGUCUUCGGACUGAGUAGAGUGGCGCACGGGUGAGUAACACGUAGGUAAUCUACCCUUUGGCGGGGGAUAACGUUCCGAAAGGAGCGCUAAUACCGCAUAAGACCACGGAGUCUCCGGACGCUGUGGGAAAAGGUGGCCUCUUCUUGAAAGCUACCACCGAAGGAUGAGCCUGCGUCCCAUCAGCUAGUUGGUAAGGUAAUGGCUUACCAAGGCGAAGACGGGUAGCUGGUUUGAGAGAAUGAUCAGCCACGCUGGCACUGGAACACGGGCCAGACUCCUACGGGAGGCAGCAGUGAGGAAUAUUGGGCAAUGGGCGAAAGCCUGACCCAGCCACGCCGCGUGAGUGAUGAAGGCCCUCGGGUCGUAAAGCUCUGUGGAGAGGGACGAAAAACCCUGGUUUCAAAUAGGCUCCAGGCUUGACGGUACCUCUUUAGCAAGCACCGGCUAACUCUGUGCCAGCAGCCGCGG
RNAcentral lists this ribosomal RNA (515 nucleotides) under uncultured bacterium. RNAcentral's name for it is "bacterial SSU rRNA". It matches the Rfam family "Bacterial small subunit ribosomal RNA", at positions 29 to 520 of the family's 1533-position model. The record is from RNAcentral.